This 4297-nucleotide long non-coding RNA is filed under the name Vitis vinifera (wine grape). RNAcentral describes it as "long non-coding RNA (VVIN_LNC003672)". The record is from RNAcentral. Lineage: Eukaryota; Viridiplantae; Streptophyta; Magnoliopsida; Vitales; Vitaceae.
AACCCACUUCUCCGAAAGAGGUUGAGGGUGUCUUGUCCCUUUAGGGAUCACCACAUAGGGUUUACCCAGCAAUUACUUUGUUCUUUCUUCAUUCUUCCUACAUUUCUCCAAUUCCAUUAUGACAUGCAGAUGCUUGUUGCAUUGUUUUGAGUGUGUCCAGCUGGAGACAGUUGCAGCAGCUCUGGUCAUAAUCCAUGCUUUCAGUCAUGUGUAGGAAAUAUCAAACUUUAUGUUUGGUCAUGCAGAAAAUGACACCUGAAUUAUAAUUUUUAUGGGAGUUUGAAAAGUCUCGCUUCUUUGAUGAUUAUCCAAAGAUUCAAUCAUGAAAUGCGGAAAAUGUAAAUUCAUGUAUAUAGGUUUGAAACUUAUUUCUUUAGAAAAUGUAAAUCUUCAUGUGUAUAUGAAUCUCCUACAUUCCCUAAUUUCAAACCCAUAUCAAUGGUGUGUGUACCCCAUUUAUAUUUAUUACAACCAUCGGUUAUAUAUAUCACAUUCAAAACACCCACAAUCAUAUACAAAGAAUUUUAGCAAAUUUUUGGUUGCAAAAUGGGGAUUGGUAGUUGAAAAUUUUAUUAUUAUUGAUUAUUAUUUCAUUAGAGGGUUGUCAAAUUUCUUGUUAAUAAAGUUUCACAAAAGAACAGAAAAUAAAAUUACAAGGUAUAAUAUAUGUACUUUUUAAUAAUAAUAAUAAUAAUAUUAUUUGUAUUUUGUCUAUCAUUAUAUAUAUAUAUAUAUUGAUAAUUUAUUUAAAGUUAUAAAUUUGUUAAUAUUAUUACAUAGUUAUGGAUUUCUUUAAUAUAAUAUGCUAGAUGCUCUUUUGAGUAAAGGAAUAUUGUUAUUGCUUUUAUAAUAAUAUAUAAGAACAUUAGAAAAAAACAGUUAAUGAUGUAUUUUUUUGGCAAAUUUAAUAAUCAUAAUUUCAUAUUUGAAACUACCAAUAACAUAAUGAGAUUCGACAUCUAUAAAAUUUACAGGAUUUAUAACAUAGUCUAAUUAGAUUUAUAUGUUUAAUUUACAUGAACAAAUUAAAAAUAAAUUAUUUAGUUGAGUAAAUUACAAUAGAUAUGAUAUUUUAUAUCAAAAGAUAAUUUUUACUGAUGAAUACUUUAAAUAUAUAAUAUGGGAAAAGAUCAUUGAAAAGUAUUAAUAAACUGAGGUGGUGUUUGUUUUUUUACUUAAUUCUAAAUAGAACCUUAAUGCUUAAUAGUGUCAAAUAUUAGAUUGUUUGUUUUUGUAGUAUUUUAUUUCUAUUAAGUAUUAAAAAAAUAAAAAUAAAAACAAUAUGUUAUUUUUUCUAUUUAGAAAAAGCUACAUAUUUUAACUUUUUCUAUUUAGUAAAAAGUUUAUAAUAAGUCAUGAAAAAUAGAAAAAUAAACAACCUAAAUUCUAAAACUAAAUUGUUUUCAGCAAAAAGCCAAAAAAAACAAACACCACCUGAGUGUAGGGUUAAUUUUGUAAAAUAAAUUAUCUUUAGUCUUUAAUGACUUUCAUUAUCAAUGAGUUAAAUUAAAUUCAAUACAUUGAACUAUCAUACCAAAUGCUUUUCACUUUGAUUGAUUUAGCAAUUAUUAUAAAGCUUAUAAUUUUUAGAAAAUAAGAAAAUAAAUCUUAAAAAUCAUUCACAUAAGGUAGACAGCUCUAUUUGCAAGUGGAACUUUGUCUACUGUGGCAUGAGGACUACGGCACCAUGAUUGCCCACUCUUCAGUGCACCAGGCUUGACCCGGGUAGCUCUUUUGUCCCUUUUGGAAAACUGCACCGUAACUAUUGCCCCUUCUUGUCCGGCUUAACCCACUUCUCCAAAAGCGGUUGAGGGUGUUCUUGUCACUUUAGGGACCACUACACAGGGGUUACCCAACAAUUACUUUAAUAUGUCUAACGAGAGACAGUUGCAGCAGCUCUAGUCAUAAUCCAUGCAUUCUAUGAGGUGUAGGAAAUACCAAACUUUGUGUUUGCUCAUGCAGAAAAUGACUCUGGAUUUAUAAUUUUUAUGGGAGUUGGAAAAGUCUUUGCUUCUUUGAUCCAUGAUUAUCCAAUGAUUCAAUCAGGACAAGCAGAAAAUGUAAAUCUUCAUGUAUAUAGGUUUGCCAGUUAUUUCUUCAAAAAAUAUAAAUAUUCAUGUAUAUAUGAAUCUCCAACAAGCCCUAAUUUCACCCCUAUAAAUUCGAUAUUUCACUCCUAUAAUUUGUGUCAUGCUUCCAUAUUAUAUUACUCUUCUCCAAUAAUCGUUGAAUCUGCUUUAUUAAUUCUACUCCAAUAUCUCUUAAUUUCGCUUUCAAGGACAAAGUUAUAAAUCUUCUAUUCUAUUAAUUUAUAUCAUGAUCUAAUUGCUUUGUGUCCUUAGUCACAUUGCUUUGUACCCUUGAUCACAUUGCUUUGUAGAGAGGUUUCAUUUCUUCAUGUUUUUGUCCCAAUUGGUUGAUCGUACCAUAGUUCCUUUUGCUUUGCAUCCCCAUUGUUACAAAAUCAAAUAAAUAAGUUAUACUCAACUCUCAAUGGUGUGCACCCAAUUCAUUUGUAUUACAACGUACCAUAUGCUAUAUAUCACAUUCAAAUGGAAGUAUUCUUAUAGAAUUGAUAUUGAUGUUAAACACUUGACCAAAUGUUUCAUUAUUUAGACCAAAGCUCAAUGGCAAAAACAAUGAAGGAUAAAUCAUUAGAUAAGGUAGACUUUAGGAUUUUAAUUGAGCUAAAAUAUUUUUAUUAGAUUAUUAAAAACCGGAUGCAUGCUCAAACCUAGCGCUUAAUUAAGUACUCAAAUUUAGGCUCAAGCGUUUGAGAGCACUCAAGCACGAGAAGCACUCUAGUAUUUGAGCGUUUGAAGUCGAUCUUUCCAAAUUUGAAUUCCCAAUUUUGUUUUAAUUCUUUUCAUGUUUUAAGAAUUGGUUUUUGGAAACUUUAGGUGUCAAUCCACUAGGGUUUCAUCCUUGUAUAAAUAUUAUGUCUAGGAAUUGUUUUCGUUAUUGAUGGAAAUUUGAAAAAAAGAUUAUCAGCCUUUAUGGAUUCUAAAACUCCUAGGUUUUUGUAAUUCUCAUUCUUUCAGUUCGUGAGAGAGAUCUGCAUCCCUUUAGGUGUUGAGAUAAUCCAUUGAUUGCAUGUGUGGUGUUGUGUUACGAAUUUGAAAACUAGUAUAUGUAUUGAAGAAUAAAACUUAAGGAUAACAUGCACCAUAUAAAUUUGUAUAUUUUUCUUUUGAAAGAAGAUUUGUGUUUUGUAGUCUUUAAUCCUAUGGGUUUUAUAUCUGUAUAUUUACAAUGAUAUAGAUAAGGAAUGAUAAAUAUUUGUUCAUAUAUAUAUAUUAGAUUAUUAAGGUAGAGAAUUCCAAGCACAAGGUUAAGGAAUUAAUAAGUUUGAGUCAAAUUAGAUGUAAUUACAUUGAAGUUGUUAAAACGAUUUAUUAAAUUAUUAAACAGAUUACAUUAGAUUGAAUUAUCUAGAAAAAGAGUAGCACGGGAAAAGUGUGACUACCAAGUCAAUAACCAAUGUUUUUGCACCACUUUAAUAAGUGAACUGUACCAUAUGGUUAUCAUUCUGGAUGGGACUACAUUGAAGCCCUUUUUCACCUCCUAGGACAUAUUUUUCCAGAAAAAGUUGUUGCUCACGAAUUACUUGAUAGACGUUAAGAUCACUCACAGCUUCUCACUGGUCUCACUGGUGUAACGGCUGCUGCUUGCUGCUGUACUUCAGAAGUUGUUGCACUUCUAAAGUUAGGUAGUUUGUUAGACUUUGUUAGAUUAGUUAGGCUGUUACACAAUGGAAAAUUCUGUUGUACGGACGUGGGUACGGUACCAGCAAAAUUCCCGUUUUUGGAUCAGAAGCUUCCAAUCAAGACUGAAUGCCUUUGCACCACUUAGCUGGACUGCAUCAUCGUAUUGCCUCUUCUUGAAUACGCUUUGCUUGAUCAACUUGCCCCUGCUUGCCCUCCAUGACCCACUUUUUUCCAAGGAGGUGAUAACCCACUCUUCACUGCACCAUGCUUCACCCGAGGUUAGCUCUUUUGUCCUUUUGGAAAACUGCACCGCAGCUGUCCCUUCUUGACCGGCUCAACCCACGUCUCCAAAAGAGGUUGAGGGUUAGGGAUCACCACACAGGGUUUACCCACCAAUUACUUUGUUCUUUCUUCAUUCUUCCUACAUUUCUCCAAUUGCAUUAUGAAAUGCAAAUGCUUGUUGCAUUGUUUCGAGUGUGUCCAGCUAGAGACAGUUGCAGCAGCUCUGGUCAUAAUCCAUGCUUUCAGUGAUGUGCAGGAAACAUCAAACUUUAUAUUUGGUCAUGCAGAAAAUGACACCUGAAUUAUAA